UACGUAGGGUGCGAGCGUUGUCCGGAAUUAUUGGGCGUAAAGAGCUCGUAGGCGGUGUGUCGCGUCGGCCGUGAAAACCUGGGGCUCAACUCUGGGCGUGCGGUCGAUACGGGCAUCACUUGAGUUCGGCAGGGGAGACUGGAAUUCCUGGUGUAGCGGUGAAAUGCGCAGAUAUCAGGAGGAACACCAAUGGCGAAGGCAGCUCGCUGGGACGGUACUGACACUGAGACGCGAAAGCGUGGUGAGCAAACAGG
This 254-nucleotide ribosomal RNA is filed under the name uncultured bacterium. RNAcentral describes it as "partial 16S ribosomal RNA". It matches the Rfam family "Bacterial small subunit ribosomal RNA", at positions 524 to 776 of the family's 1533-position model. The record is from RNAcentral.